RNAcentral lists this ribosomal RNA (253 nucleotides) under uncultured bacterium. Its description in RNAcentral is "partial 16S ribosomal RNA". It matches the Rfam family "Bacterial small subunit ribosomal RNA", at positions 524 to 776 of the family's 1533-position model. The record is from RNAcentral.
UACGAAGGGGGCUAGCGUUGCUCGGAAUCACUGGGCGUAAAGGGUGCGUAGGCGGGUCUUUAAGUCAGAGGUGAAAUCCUGGAGCUCAACUCCAGAACUGCCUUUGAUACUGAGGAUCUUGAGUUCGGGAGAGGUGAGUGGAACUGCGAGUGUAGAGGUGAAAUUCGUAGAUAUUCGCAAGAACACCAGUGGCGAAGGCGGCUCACUGGCCCGAUACUGACGCUGAGGCACGAAGGUCAGGGGAGCAAACGGG